UUUUCCAGCCCAGAAUUCCAUCUGCCGGCAUUCUCCCUCUUCAUGUAAACCUUGUAAAAUAAGAGAGAAUAGGCAUAAGUAUUGUGACAUAACGUGUAAUAACAGCCCAUAAUGCAAUAAAUAUCGAUAUAAAAGCAUGAUGCAAAAUGGACGUAUCACAAGGCAACCGUGAGUACUCAUCCAAAGUACUCGCAAGCAUCAGAUCUAAACUAAGUAUGCAUUGGUAUAAAAUGGAAGGGUUGUGUCUGUGGACUGAACUGCAGAAAGCCAGAAUAGAGAGGAAGGCCUAGCCUAUCGAAGACUAGCAUCUUCAAGCAACUCCAAGCAUCUUGCAGCAUGUAGAAGAGUAAAGAAUAGCAGUUUAUAAUUAAAAAUCAUGUUGUAGUAUUAAUGCCCAGAGAUCCUUCCUCGACUCCCUGCGAGGAAGCAAUCCCGGGGCCACAUAUCCAUCACCAAGUAUCCAUUUCUAGUUGUAUAAGAUCAUGACACAAGUCUGAACGUCCGUUACCAUCGACACGGUAUUCGAAUAUAUAUCUUCCCUGCAGGGGUGCACCACGUUACCCAACACGCUCGAUCACUCUGGUCGGACACACUUUCCUGGGUCAUGCCCGGCCUCGGAAGAUCAACACGUCGCAGCCCUACCUGGGCUCAGCACAGAGGUCCCUGCCGGUCUACAUCCUAAGUGCCCCGGGGUCUUGGGCUCAUCGCCCGUUGCACUCCGGGUCGUUGCGCGCAGGGUGGAUACCAGCACCGCCUCGGAUGGCCAACACGAUCCGACCGUGCCGCCAUGUUGAACUGGACGUCUGACAAAGCUUCAGCUGAUACUGCGACAUCGAGGCCCAUAACUAUUCUCGCGUGGUGGUUAGUGCGUAAAGGCCAGAGGCCAACUCAGAACAAAUACCCAAACCUGUUAGUGCAUUAUUAAAAGAAGUGACGGCUGUCGGGACAAGUACGGAGCUAUCACCCCCUCCUGGGUGAUACCACUAAACAGCCAGCCGCCACUGUAACAACUCCUCGGGUGCUCUCUGGGCCCGCUCAUCUUUCACCAAUUUCUCAAGAAAAGUCAAGGUAACCGUGUGUCCAAACAUCAAGGGGAAAACCCAAGGAAUCACCCUCGGAAGAUUCCACUCGAUGUAAUCAUCAAGGUGAACGUAAGAGGAACCACCCUCGAGGUUCACACUUGAGGUGUUGCAUGACAGAGUCGUAUCGGAAGUGGUUAAAGAGGAAUCACCCUCGAUGACCACGACCGAAUAGCUACACUACAGAGAUCUCAUCAGGAGUGAUGUAUGAGGUUCUACCCACGGCCCUCGAUGGUAACUCUACAGAGUCGAGCAACAAAGGGGGUGUGAUGUGAUGUGUUGGGCUCUGGUUGUCGUUCACGUUGAUCGAGUCGUCGAUGAUGAAGCAGGGGCAACAAGGACAAGGUGGGGGUCACUGAUGGUUCACUUAUCCAACCUAUACUAAGCAGUUCAGGAUAAGCAGGUAGGUAACAAUAGCAGGUACAAAAGCAGGCUAUGCAUCAGAAUAGGAGCAAUCAAAUACAGUAGCAAAAUCUAAUGCAAGCAUGAGAGAAUGGAAUGGGCGAUAUCGAGAUGAUCAUAGGGGGGGUUGCCUGGAAGCUCCGCUGAAAGGGAAGAAGGGUCGUCGUCGACGUAGUCGAUCACAGCGGCAGCGGUCUGGGGGUCUACCGGAGAGAAGAGGGGGAAGAAAGAGUAAAUACAGAGCAAACAAGUGCAAUACUAUGCAUGACAAGACAAAAAGCAGCGCUAGGGGUGUUCUAACACAGUGUUACACGAUACCGCCGAAGGGGGAUAACAUCCGGGAAAGUUUUCCUGAAGUUUGCAUUUUCGGACAGAUGAAACUGAGGGGGACGGUUGCAUGUUCGCUAUGCUAGGGGCAUAUGACAGAUGAACGGAGAGCGUAUUCGGAUUCGUCUCGUCGUUUUGAGCAACUUUCAUGUACAAAUUAAGUAUUUUCAUCUGAGUUACGGAUUAUUUUCUAUGAUUUUGUAAAGUUUUAGAAAAAUUCUGAAAUUAUUAUUAAUUCGAAAUUAAAUGCUAAAAGCUAGGUGCACCCAGCACAGUGUACACCAAAGUGUACCCAGUGGCUGAUAGGUGGACCGGGGGGUCCCAGUUGACCACUCAACGUUUGAUGAGGUAGACAUAUCUAACUAAUUAUAGAUGAGGUAGUUAAUUAGCAGGUUAACUUAAUUAAGAAAACUUUAAAUAAGUUAAUUAAUUAAUUAAUUUAAUUUUUAUCUUCUUUUUUUGUUUUUGUUUUUACAAAAAAGGGCGUGGGGCCCAUAGGCCAGUGGCCAGGCCAUAGCGGGCAGGCGUUAUCGGGCAGGGAAAAAAAUUCUGUGCAGACCGGCUGCAAAUCAAAUCCUGUGUAUACCCGACCCCGAUGGGUGACACGUGUACAGGCACAACAUCUGACGGCCGCCUGGUAGAGCGAGCGCUCCUCUCCACCGCGACGGCUCGGUCGCUCGGCUCGGCUCGAAUAGGAAACCCUCGUCCACCGUCGUGGUCGCCGCGUGCGCUAGCGGCCCCCUCGUCCGCCGCCGCCACACCCCAGAUCGACGACUGCCGCCACAACGUUUUUGCCUGAUACUCCGCCCUCCCCGUGCCCAUCACGCUCAGCAAGUAGCAGCGGAAGAAGGCGGCGCAGCGCAGCGCCAGCAGCGGCCUGAGGCAGCCGGCAAGGAGACAGAGCUCUUCGCCCCAAACUACGGCCGUCAAUGCCAGGUCCAGCCCAAGUCCGUCUUCACCAGAUUUACAAAAACUUGUUUAUUUCAACAACUUUCCUUGUAACAAGGUUUAUCUGAACACUACACUUCUGAUUUACAGAUAUAAUCAAGCCACACAUGCUCUUUACCGAAUCUAAAAUCAGAAUGCCAAUAUAGGAGCAGAAGCUGGGUAUACGCCCCGGACUGAAGAUAAAAUCAGAGCGGUUCCGUGACAAAUGCUCAAACAUGUGUACAUAAAUUGAAAGACUUGUAGUUUGAUGAUUCUGGCCUUUCUGAAUUCUGUGUAAUCUGAAAGUUUGCCAAGAUUGUAAUAGAAACAUAGAUCCCAUUGUAAUCUAUUCGGGACCCUUUUGUCGUUUACAAGUAUCUCAUGAUAGGAACAAGAGAAACAAUCUCAGUUUGGAAGUCUCGUCAUUCCAGACAUCAGAUUUUUGAGCUAUUUGUCGUUUCAUAUUUACCUUUUCAAAGGAAUACGAGAAAGAAUUUUAGUUUAGAAGUCUUUAUACGAAUCACAAGAAGUACAAAUCAGCGGGGGCGUGAGGCCCUGGCAGGCGGACCGGCCUCGGCCGGGAACGGCGGCGGCCAGCGGCGAUGGGGCAGCAGGGCGCGGCACGGCGUGGCUGGCAAUGCGGGGCGGGGACAGCGGGCGAGGCCGCCGCAGGGUGCAGGGGCGGGCCAGCGGGAGCGAGGCGACGCAAGCUGCACGGCCGAGCAGAGCAGCAGCGGGCGUCAGAGGUGGACGGCGGCGAUGCGAGCUCGGCCGCGGGCGCGACCGGCGACAACGGGCGUGGGGUGCACGUGCGGCGGCUGCACGUGCAUGGGCGUGGUGGGCGGAGCUAGCAGCGGCAACAGCUUGCGUAGCUCGGGCGCGUUUGAGCGGCACCGGCGGUCACGCACGAGCUGUAGCAGGUGGUGCGGGCGAGGUCGGCGCGAGGCAAGUAGGACGCGGCCAGACGAGGGCGGGGCCGCGGUUAGCUCGACAAGGGGGGAUGGCGAGCGUGGCCGGGCGCGCAGAGGCACGGGCGAAGGAAGCAGGCGCGGCGAUGCUGCAAGCGGGAGUGGGCGAGAUCCAGAGGAGCAACGGCCAAUGGCGCGGGGCGCGGCGGGCGCGGCCGAGGAGCAGCAGUGCAGCAGCAGAAGCAAUGUUGAGCAGGCAGUAGCAGCAGCGGCUCAAGCACGCACGUACGUAGUAGCUCGAGCUCCGACCAUGGUCACUACACACGACCACGGGAGCGGCGGUAAACGGCACAGAUCGAAGGGGCAAAGCGGUGGAAUCGGCAGAGAGGCUCACCGAGAGGCACACAGGUGGCCGGCGAGAGGUUAGGAGCUGAAGCGGGCGGCGGAUCGACGGCAAGGAGCUUCGGCGUCCCGAUGAUGAAGAAGACGGGUUAGGCGUCGCUGUGCAGCUUCACCGGCCAGCCUCGGGCGUGGGCGGGACGAGGACGACGCCGGGAGGCCGUAGGACAGCUCGACGAGGCCGUUGGGGAGGAGUUCGGGGACGACGACGGUGCGGCGGAGACGAGGACGACGGUGCGGUGGAGACGGGGACGACGCGGCGACCUCGGGCAACUUCUCGAUCCAGGGGGAGGUNNN
This 4339-nucleotide long non-coding RNA is filed under the name Triticum aestivum (bread wheat). RNAcentral describes it as "long non-coding RNA (TAES_LNC004398)". Lineage: Eukaryota; Viridiplantae; Streptophyta; Magnoliopsida; Poales; Poaceae. The record is from RNAcentral.